CCAAUUUAUAAUACUAAGGGGGGGGGGGCUAGAUAGCUUUUUUUUUAAAGCCUAGGAUAGGUAACUUAGAGGGCUUGCCCAUAUUAUUAGUUGUAGGUAAUGCCUACCAAGACGAUGAUUGUAGUUGACUGAGAGUUGAACAGCCACUUGGGACUGAGCCCGGCCCAAAUCCUACGGGAGCAGCAGUAGGAAUUUUCGGCAAUGGAGGAACUCUGACCGAGCAACGCCGCGUGAACGACGAAGUACUUUGGUAUGUAAAGUUCUUUUAUCAAGGAAGAAAAGCAAGUGGUGAACCAUUUGUUUGCCGGUACUUGAUGAAUAAGCCCCGGCUAAUUAUGUGCCAGCAGCCGCGGUAAGACAUAAGGGGCAAGUGUUAUCCGGAAUUAUUGGGCGUAAAGGGUGCGUAGGCGGUCUAGUAAGUCAGUGGUGUAAUGGCAACGCUCAACGUUGUCCGGCUAUUGAAACUGCUAAACUUGAGUUAGAUAGAGGCGAGUGGAAUUCCAUGUGUAGCGGUAAAAUGCGUAAAUAUAUGGAGGAACACCAGAGGCGUAGGCGGCUCGCUGGGUCUUAACUGACGCUGAGGCACGAAAGCGUGGGGAGCAAACAGGAUUAGAUACCCUGGUAGUCCACGCCGUAAACGAUGAGUACUAAGUGUCGGGUUAAACCGGUACUGAAGUUAACACAUUAAGUACUCCGCCUGAGUAGUACGUACGCAAGUAUGAAACUUAAAGGAAUUGACGGGACUCCGCACAAGCGGUGGAUCAUGUUGUUUAAUUCGAAGAUACCCGAAAAACCUUACCAGGUCUUGACAUGUUUUUGCGAAACGGUAGUAAUAUCGUGGAGGUUAUCAGAAACACAGGUGGUGCAUGGUUGUCGUCAGCUCGUGUCGUGAGAUGUUAGGUUAAGUCCUAAAACGAGCGAAACCCUUAUCGUUAGUUGCCAGCACGUUAUGGUGGGGACUUUAACGAGACUGCCAGUGAUAAAUUGGAGGAAGGUGAGGAUCACGUCAAAUCAGCAUGCCCCUUAUGACCUGGGCUACAAACGUGAUACAAUGGCUGUUACAAAGGGUAGCUGAAACGCAAGUUCUUGGCCAAUCCCCAAAAACAGUCUCAGUCCGGAUUGAAGUCUGCAACUCGACUUCAUGAAGUUGGAAUCGCUAGUAAUCGCGAAUCAGCAUUCGCGGAAACAGGUGAAU
This 1195-nucleotide small RNA is filed under the name Candidatus Phytoplasma citri. RNAcentral describes it as "bacterial SSU rRNA". It matches the Rfam family "Bacterial small subunit ribosomal RNA", at positions 156 to 1375 of the family's 1533-position model. The record is from RNAcentral. Lineage: Bacteria; Bacillati; Mycoplasmatota; Mollicutes; Acholeplasmatales; Acholeplasmataceae.